UACGAAGGGGGCAAGCGUUGUUCGGAAUUACUGGGCGUAAAGGGCGCGUAGGCGGAAGCGCAAGUCAGAGGUGAAAGGCCUGGGCUCAACCCGGGAAUUGCCUUUGAAACUGUGCAUCUAGAGUGCGAGAGAGGGUGGCGGAAUACCCAGUGUAGAGGUGAAAUUCGUAGAUAUUGGGUAGAACACCAGUGGCGAAGGCGGCCACCUGGCUCGCAACUGACGCUGAGGCGCGAAAGCGUGGGGAGCAAACAGG
RNAcentral lists this ribosomal RNA (253 nucleotides) under uncultured bacterium. Its description in RNAcentral is "partial 16S ribosomal RNA". It matches the Rfam family "Bacterial small subunit ribosomal RNA", at positions 524 to 776 of the family's 1533-position model. The record is from RNAcentral.